RNAcentral lists this long non-coding RNA (1726 nucleotides) under Salmo salar (Atlantic salmon). RNAcentral's name for it is "lncRNA (ENSSSAG00000093967.1)". The record is from RNAcentral. Lineage: Eukaryota; Metazoa; Chordata; Actinopteri; Salmoniformes; Salmonidae.
ACCUCUAAAAUGUACUCACCCUGACCUCCAGUGUGUAACCUGUAGGUGUGGCUAGUAUUUCAGCAUUAAGCAAGCUCUGCUUUGUAAACUUGUCACAAUGACAUUCAGAACACGAGCACAUCAGCCCGGUCGCUCACAGCUCUAUGAAAUAUGUUCUGUCGGAUUUUGACAUGGAACAUGGGUGUGUGCCUUCUGACGUCAAUAUAUAUAUAUAUAUUUCACAAAUGCAUGCUGUUUAUCGUCUGCAUAGAGAUAGAGUAGCAUAGAGACCCCUCCCGGUGUCAAAUAGAGUAUCCAGGAAUUAAUGUUGCGUAUCAAUCACCAGGGGUUUUAUAAUCCGAUUUUGCGCUGCUGACGUAGGCUAUUCAAGUUAAAAAAAAUGUUUUUUUUUACAUCGUACCGCAGUGUCUGUAAAAUUCCUUUAAUGUCGUGUCCACCAAUUGAAUUCAUCUAAGCCUUUCUCGCCAGCCUUCCUCCCCAAUACCCCUUCUCUAUCGCUCUAUUUUUAGAGCGCACUGUAAUCCCUCCCCCUCUCCAUUUUCCUCCCUCUCCAGCUCUAUUUACCUAUUUUAUGGCACGCAGUCAAAGGCAGAGAGCAAGCUCUGUUCAAAUCAAAUCACGUUUUUUUGUCACAUGCGCCGGAUAGAACUUUACCAUGAAAUGCUUACUUAUGAGCCCUUUCCCAACGAUGCAGAGUAAUAAAAAAAACCCACAAGGAAUAAAAUACACAAGAAUGAAGCUAUAUACAGGGAGUACCAGUAGUAUAUCAAUGAGGCAGAUGAAAAUGCGCAGCGCUCCGUUUUUAGGUCAGUGGGACACGGAAUGGCGCUCUCUCUCUCUCCCUUCUUUUGAUCGACGAGUGGAAACAUUGUGACCUUCCUGACAUUCUAGUUUUCAGUUUUCCCUCGCAACUUUGUUUUUAAAACAUACUACACCCUCUAGUAUUGUGUCUGGGUGAAAACCGAGACAGAGGAAGAGAUGGCUCAUCUGGUGGCUGUGGUGAUUCUUUAGGGGAAAGAAAGAGCAGAGCAAAAUAGGAGGGAAUUCCUAGCUGUCUGUCUCUCACUGUGAAAAAAAGACAGAGAAAAGUGUCCUGGAAGGUGUAACCACUAAAACUAUUAUGCAAAUGAGGAAAUGAGGAAGGGAGCUGCCACUGUGAGAAAGAUAUACUGUAAACUAGUAUUAUUAUGUAAUAAAAUGGUCAUACUCUAGAUUGUUAUGAUGAGGUUGAAGCUAGGUCAAGUUGUUAUGAUGAGGUUGAGACUAGAUCUAUAUUGUUAUGAGGUUGAGACUAGGUCAGGUUGUUAUGACAAGGUUGAGACUAGGGUCUAGGUUGUUAUGAUGUGGUUGAUACCAGGUCAGGUUGUUAUGAUGAGGUUGAUACUAGGUCAGGUUGUUAUGAUGAGGUUUAUACUAGGUCAGGUUGUGUAACCCAGACAAGCUCUAGAGCCAAAUGAAGUGGCUAGAAAGUACUCUACUUGUACUGAGUUCAGUUAGUGUGUCAGUGACAGAUGGAGUAGAGACAGCUUUAGAUUAGAUCCCAAAAAUAAAACCAGACCUUAUUUAGUCUUACUUGAGCUAUUGUUAGAUAUAGUGGUGGUAGCCUGAUAGUGGUAGCAAAGACCAGAAAUGAACAGAUUAAAUACCUAACAUUAGAAACAAUAUUGAAUCUAUAGAAAAAAGAGAUAAGAAAACAAUAACUGACCAAAAGCUUCUGUUACUGAUC